Molecule: small RNA, 127 nt
Filed under: Marmota monax (woodchuck)
Lineage: Eukaryota; Metazoa; Chordata; Mammalia; Rodentia; Sciuridae
Source: RNAcentral
GCCAGGCAUGGUGGCACACGCCUGUAAUCCCAGCAGCUUAGGAGGCUGAGGCAGGAGGAUUGCAAGUUCAAAGCCAGCCUCAGCAAUUUAGAGAGGCACUUUGCAAUUCAACAAGACCCUGUCUCUA